GAUGAAGAACGCAGCGAAAUGCGAUAAGUAGUGUGAAUUGCAGAAUCCCGUGAACCAUCGAGUCUUUGAACGCAAGUUGCGCCCGAAGCCAUCAGGUUGAGGGCACGUCUGCCUGGGCGUCACAUAUCGUUGCCCAAUGCCUAUUGCAGUGCAAUAGGAAUUUCUAGGGCGAAUGAUGGCUUCCCGUGAGCGUUGUUGCCUCGCGGUUGGUUGAAAAUCGAGUCCUUGGUAGGGUGUGCCAUGGUAGAUGGUGGUCGAGUUAGAACGAUACCGAUCAUGUGCAUGCUCCCCAAAAUAUGGCCUCUAUGACCCACACGCGUCUUUUGACGCUCAUGACGAGACCUCAGGUCAGGCGGGGCUACCCGCUGAAUUUAAGCAUAUCAAUAAGCGGAGGA
RNAcentral lists this unclassified non-coding RNA (395 nucleotides) under soil metagenome. RNAcentral's name for it is "partial contains 5.8S ribosomal RNA, internal transcribed spacer 2, and large subunit ribosomal RNA". The stretch from base 1 to 122 matches the Rfam family "5.8S ribosomal RNA", at positions 35 to 154 of the family's 154-position model. The record is from RNAcentral.